UACGAAGGUGGCAAGCGUUACUCGGAAUUACUAGGCGUAAAGGGCAGGUAGGUGGUUUGAUAAGUCUGUUGUGAAAGCUCCCGGCUCAACUGGGAGAGGUCAACGGAUACUGUCAGGCUUGAGUAUAGGAGAGGUUACUGGAAUUCCCGGUGUAGCGGUGAAAUGCGCAGAGAUCGGGAGGAACACCAAUGGCGAAAGCAGGUAACUGGACUAUUACUGACACUCAACUGCGAAAGCUAGGGGAGCAAACAGG
RNAcentral lists this ribosomal RNA (253 nucleotides) under uncultured bacterium. Its description in RNAcentral is "partial 16S ribosomal RNA". It matches the Rfam family "Bacterial small subunit ribosomal RNA", at positions 524 to 776 of the family's 1533-position model. The record is from RNAcentral.